RNAcentral lists this long non-coding RNA (845 nucleotides) under Penaeus japonicus. RNAcentral's name for it is "uncharacterized LOC122251227". Lineage: Eukaryota; Metazoa; Arthropoda; Malacostraca; Decapoda; Penaeidae. The record is from RNAcentral.
GAGGGAACUGAGAACGAGCACCCGUUGACAGAAAUUCAUGAUAAUCAGGGUUACGAAGGACUGAAUGGGAUAUUGGUGUCAGGAAUUUCCCCGAAGCAAAGAUGAUUGCCUUUGCCUCUGCCUCUGAUUUCUAUGGUUAUUGGGCAGCUGUCUCUUAGAACUUUGUGUUCACUUUGGUAAUAGAUGGAUAUUUGCAUGCAUGUGUCCGCCACAUGAUUUUGGUUUAUUAAUGCUUGUUGUGAACCUUCGUAGUCCACUAAUAGUUCCAAUGGGCUGUGUGCUUGUACCUUGAUUUAGCUCUUAGAUGCAGAGACUGAAGUAGAUUUAUCUACUUUGAGAUUCUACCAUAAAAAAAAUGUUUUCAAAUGCAUAGGGAAUAUUGCCUAAAGGGUGUAUUGAGAAUGUGCUUUUUUUCUUUUUUUCAUAAAACCUCAUAAAUAUAAUGAUAUAUAAGACAUCAUAUAUUAUCAUGCCUUCAGCUGGCAUUCCAAAUUAUAUAUUACAAUUGUCAUUCCUUCCACACAGACAAUACUUUGUACACAAAGACAUAACUUAUUAUAGUAUUUUUUAAUUGAUCAAACCUUUACAGAUACUCUAGAUAACAUGUUUAUAGUAGAUUGUCUUUGAUAAACCAUCAUUCUGAAAAAAAACAAUGAUGUAAAAAAGGUAUAUCGUAUUGUAUUGACAGAAUUCCCCAAGAACAAGAUAAUGCAUUUAAAUAUCUUUAAAGUGCAUUUGCAAUCUGAAAUCGCUUUAGCACUCAACCAUCCUCGCUGUAAUAAACUUGCACACUGCUUCACUAGUUGCCCUAGAAAGAGCCAUUUUAUAACUGGUACUUGAUAAAA